AAAUCACGUGUAUGUCAUCUUAUACACCAAGCCAUGCCAUUUGAGUCUUCAUACUGCUAAAAAGAAAUAAAAAAUCACCAAACAAAUUGUCAUCUUUUCUCUUCAGGUGAGUUCUCAACCUUCUCUUCUUUACUUUUUUUUCAUUCUCUUCUUCUAACCUAAUCUCCUUCAGUGAAAGAUCUUUCAGAAGGUUGGUGCGUGGAUCGAGCAUUUUCAGUGUUCUUGCUUCAGAUAGCUAGGUGGCUAACAUGCCUUUCAUCAUUCCCGCAC
This 270-nucleotide long non-coding RNA is filed under the name Solanum tuberosum (potato). Its description in RNAcentral is "long non-coding RNA (STUB_LNC008030)". Lineage: Eukaryota; Viridiplantae; Streptophyta; Magnoliopsida; Solanales; Solanaceae. The record is from RNAcentral.